This 63-nucleotide transfer RNA is filed under the name uncultured Deefgea sp. It matches the Rfam family "tRNA", at positions 7 to 64 of the family's 71-position model. Rfam says of the family: Transfer RNA (tRNA) molecules are approximately 80 nucleotides in length. Lineage: Bacteria; Pseudomonadati; Pseudomonadota; Betaproteobacteria; Neisseriales; Chitinibacteraceae. The record is from RNAcentral.
UCGUUAGCUCAGUUGGUAGAGCGCCUGCCUUACAAGCAGGAUGUCGGCGGUUCGACCCCGUCA